UACGUAGGGUGCGAGCGUUAAUCGGAAUUACUGGGCGUAAAGCGUGCGCAGGCGGUUUGCUAAGACCGAUGUGAAAUCCCCGGGCUCAACCUGGGAACUGCAUUGGUGACUGGCAGGCUAGAGUAUGGCAGAGGGGGGUAGAAUUCCACGUGUAGCAGUGAAAUGCGUAGAGAUCGUAAGGAAGACCAGUGGCGAAGGCGGGUCUCUGGACAGUUCCUGACACUGAGGCACGAAGGCCAGGGGAGCAAACGGG
Molecule: ribosomal RNA, 253 nt
Filed under: uncultured bacterium
Lineage: Bacteria
Description: partial 16S ribosomal RNA
Rfam family: Bacterial small subunit ribosomal RNA
Source: RNAcentral